Molecule: non-coding RNA, 447 nt
Organism: Lonchura striata (white-rumped munia)
Lineage: Eukaryota; Metazoa; Chordata; Aves; Passeriformes; Estrildidae
Source: RefSeq, a predicted model, not a curated record
GGCGUAUGAUGGCGCGGAGCUGUGUAGUGCGUGUUCCAGGGCGUGGUCUGGCCGGGAGGUGGAGGUCUUGGGCGGCACAUCCCUCCCCUCCCCGGGUGUUUCAGAGAGAAGCAGAAGGGUGUUCUCUCCCAGGAUAGAUCUACCCAGAACCCAGCUGCCCUUGGAAGGAGUGAUCUGAGUUCCCAACCCAGGUGAUUGUCACUGAGACUGAAAGUAUUGCACAUAUUGACUUCCAAUUGAAUGCAUUUCACCCUAUAAUAAUAAUUCAGCCUGCAAUACCAUGGAAAUGUCUACCAUUCCUACAUCACAACUAUCCCUCUAGAGAAACCAACUCUUGGAUGGAUGCCCUUGGUGCCAGAAGAGCAGAGCACGGAAAGCCACAGCUCGGUCCCUGCGUUUCAGACUCCUCUUUAUACCAACACAGUCUAUGGGUGUUCCUUUGCUGCC